UCGAUUCUUCGUUCGUUCUUAACUAUCAUCCGUUGAUCCCCGAACACGAUCCCGGCUUAAUUCCUUGGGCUUUUACUCAGAUUUCAAAGCUCCAAAUCACUUAAAUUCAUUCCAUAACAUUUAGCUCGAAAUCACUCCUACAAGGCAUAAAACACAUAAUUAGUGCAAAAUACUAGCGAUUAAAGCUCAAACUCAACUAAAGUGCAGUAAAUUGAAAUGUAAUAAUCGACUAAAAAAUGAGAUUAUAGCCUACCAUCAACUACCUCUUUCUCCACCUCCUCCUACUCUUAACUUCCCUUACCUUCACUUUCUCAGAUGAUGCUUCUGUUAUGUCAAAACUUCUUACAUCUCUUUCUCCACCACCUUCUGGUUGGUCAACUUCUCAGCCUUUCUGUACUUGGAAAAAUGUCAACUGUGACAAAUCUUCUACUACUGUAACUUCCAUUAAUCUUGAUUCUUAAUCAGUUUCUGGUUCUUUACCUCCUGAACUUAAC
Molecule: long non-coding RNA, 494 nt
Filed under: Nicotiana tabacum (common tobacco)
Lineage: Eukaryota; Viridiplantae; Streptophyta; Magnoliopsida; Solanales; Solanaceae
Description: long non-coding RNA (NTAB_LNC007693)
Source: RNAcentral